RNAcentral lists this ribosomal RNA (424 nucleotides) under uncultured prokaryote. RNAcentral's name for it is "bacterial SSU rRNA". It matches the Rfam family "Bacterial small subunit ribosomal RNA", at positions 355 to 796 of the family's 1533-position model. The record is from RNAcentral.
CAAGGAAUUUUCCCCAAUGGGCGCAAGCCUGAGGGAGCAACGCCGCGUGCAGGACGACGGCCUUCGGGUUGUAAACUGCUUUUGCGUGGGACGAUAACGACGGUACCACGCGAAUCAGCCCCGGCUAACUCUGUGCCAGCAGCCGCGGUAAUACAGAGGGGGCAAGCGUUGUCCGGACUUACUGGGCGUAAAGCGCGCGUAGGCGGAUCUUUAAGUCAGGGGUGAAAUCCCGGGGCUCAACCUCGGAAUUGCCUUUGAUACUGGAGAUCUUGAGUCCGAGAGAGGUGAGUGGAACUCCGAGUGUAGAGGUGAAAUUCGUAGAUAUUCGGAAGAACACCAGUGGCGAAGGCGGCUCACUGGCUCGGUACUGACGCUGAGGUGCGAAAGCGUGGGGAGCAAACAGGAUUAGAUACCCCUGUAGUCC